GAUGAACGCUGGCGGCGUGCUUAACACAUGCAAGUCGAACGGGAAACCUUUUAUUGAAGCUUCGGCAGAUUUAGCUGGUUUCUAGUGGCGGACGGGUGAGUAACGCGUGGGUAACCUGCCUUAUACAGGGGGAUAACAACCAGAAAUGGUUGCUAAUACCGCAUAAGCGCACAGGACCGCAUGGUCCGGUGUGAAAAACUCCGGUGGUAUAAGAUGGACCCGCGUUGGAUUAGCUAGUUGGCAGGGUAACGGCCUACCAAGGCGACGAUCCAUAGCCGGCCAGAGAGGGUGAACGGCCACAUUGGGACUGAGACACGGCCCAGACUCCUACGGGAGGCAGCAGUGGGGAAUAUUGCACAAUGGGGGAAACCCUGAUGCAGCGACGCCGCGUGAAGGAAGAAGUAUCUCGGUAUGUAAACUUCUAUCAGCAGGGAAGAUAGUGACGGUACCUGACUAAGAAGCCCCGGCUAACUACGUG
RNAcentral lists this ribosomal RNA (478 nucleotides) under uncultured bacterium. RNAcentral describes it as "partial 16S ribosomal RNA". It matches the Rfam family "Bacterial small subunit ribosomal RNA", at positions 28 to 507 of the family's 1533-position model. The record is from RNAcentral.